GCCCAGUGACUAUAUGUUCAACGGCCGCGGUAUUCUGACCGUGCAAAGGUAGCGUAAUCACUUGUCUUUUAAAUAAAGACUGGUAUGAAUGGCACCACGAAGGUUCAACUGUCUCCUGCAUCCAAUCCAUUAAACUGACCUCCCCGUGCAGAGGCGGGGAUAUUCCCAUAAGACGAGAAGACCCUAUGGAGCUUUAAACUUACGGCAACUGCUAAACAAUCCAACCCCACACGGGAAAACAGACAAUUAAGCAACAAUGACCUAGAGUUUUCGGUUGGGGCGACCACGGAGAAAAAAAAAUCCUCCUUGAUGUACGGGGCCUUACCCUCUUAACCAAGAACGACAGUUCUAAGUAACAAAACAUUUGACCACUAUUGAUCCAGUCCAACUGAUCAACGAACCAAGUUACCCUAGGGAUAACAGCGCAAUCCAUUUCGAAAGUUCCUAUCGACAAAUGGGUUUACGACCUCGAUGUUGGAUCAG
RNAcentral lists this ribosomal RNA (483 nucleotides) under Xenopus tropicalis (tropical clawed frog). Its description in RNAcentral is "partial large subunit ribosomal RNA". It matches the Rfam family "Bacterial large subunit ribosomal RNA", at positions 1861 to 2540 of the family's 2925-position model. The record is from RNAcentral. Lineage: Eukaryota; Metazoa; Chordata; Amphibia; Anura; Pipidae.